This 2180-nucleotide unclassified non-coding RNA is filed under the name Ooceraea biroi (clonal raider ant). Its description in RNAcentral is "pX domain-containing protein kinase-like protein, transcript variant X2". Lineage: Eukaryota; Metazoa; Arthropoda; Insecta; Hymenoptera; Formicidae. The record is from RNAcentral.
ACUCAUAGGGGAGGGCGUGACGUCACAAUAGUGAUAAACUAAUCGGCUAGUGUGUCGCGCUGACGACUGCGAAACACAAGCGUCGAAGGUCCGACUGCGCGUCCGUGGAGGCGGUUAUCACGCACGGUCCGUCUCCGUCCUCUGUGCCAGUGUGUCAGUGUAUGUACCCGAGUGUAUCGUGUGUCAAGCUGCUGACAUUGAAAAUAUUCCGUGAUAAGUGCCGCCGCCGUCGCCGUCGCCGUCACCGCCGCCAUCGCCGCUGCCGCCGUCGCCGUGCAUUCACCGAUGUUGAAAUGAAGCAGAAGCGCGUAAUAUAUGGCGACGCGCGGAAACUGUGCGAGAGACAAACGCAGUUGGCCCCGUACGGGCCUUGCCUCGCGUCGGACUAACGAUCAAUGGCUUUAUUCGAGAAGAGAUACACGAAUAAGGUGCUAUUAGAUGAUACGGAGCAGUUGACGAGUGUCAUCGAAAAUGCGAGGACCAUCGACGGACAUACGGAAUACGUAAUCAAAACACAGAGAGGUCCACUUCCUGAAAGAUCUUGGAGAGUGAGUAGACGCUACAAUGACUUCGUACAGCUUAAUGCAGCUUUGUCCAUAUCUGGCUUCGACCUGCCAUUACCACCAAAAAGAAUUAUUGGUAAUAUGGAGCCAGACUUUAUAGCUCAGCGACAAAUAGCACUGCAGAAUUAUCUAAACAUAGUACUAAUGAAUCCUAUACUGGCAUCUUCACUUCCCAUGAAAAAGUUUGUAGACCCUGAGAAUUAUACAGCACCAUUACAUGAAAUCGCAUUACAGCAAGUGUCAUUAGCGUUACGAAGCGAUGCCAAUUUUGAAGUGUGCAAGCCCAUCCCUGAUAUGGGAUGGCGAUUGAGGAAACAUUAUUACACAGUGAAGAAUCGUCAGAAUCCGAAACAAGAACUUUUGCUAGCUUGGGUAGAAUUCGGUCCCGAUAAACAUUUGCAAGACAAAGACAUACAAGGGAUUUUCAAGACCCUGGGCACUCUACGCCAUUCUCACAUCGAACCGAUAGUGCAUCAGCACGUCACCGACAAUGGAGCACUAACGAUACGGACUUUUUAUCCAACGGGUACUUUGCGCGACAUUCUGUGCAUUACUAAGCCUAAGCAGCCGUUUAUAAAGAAAUAUGGAAAUCCGAAGCAAAUAAAGUCGCUGACAACGCAGGAGAUUGCUACGUACGGUUAUCAGAUAUUGGAAGCUUUGGGAUAUCUCCAUGAGAAGGGAUUACCUUACGGACACUUGCAUACUGGCAAUGUUCUCCUAACUCCGAGGUGCGCCAAAUUAUUGGAUAUAGAAAAUGGACUCCUAGGAUUGCCAGCGUUUUACCGGCCUUACGUAGUACAAAGGCGCAAACUGCAUGCCACGACCCAGGUCGACGUGUAUUCAUUCGGACAUGUUCUGUACGAGAUGGCAUUCGGCCGACCACUUCUGGAGGCAACAUGCUCCGACCUACCGCACUGCGAAGCGAGCCUAAAGAAUUUACUGGAGGUCAUCCUGUCACCGGAAGCCCUGAAGCAAGAUUUGCCAACGGUGGCGCACUUGCUGCAGCAUCCGUUCUUCGAGUCGGCGAGGCAGGCCGCACUAGCUAUUGGCACUAUAGAGAAGCCACACUUCAAGCUGAGCAAUCACCUGAAGGAGGCUCUACAAGAAGCUGUAAAUAAGGCUGAGCAACGACUACGCGAUGAACAGAAGGUCGCUCGACACCAGAAGAGGCUCGUCAAGGUUCAAGAGAUGAUGAGCUCCGAGGAGGAGAUGAAGAAACGAAAACAUAAGCUGAAGAAGGAGCAGAAAUUGGCGCAAGAACAACGUUCCGCGUCGCAAUUGGGCGCGAACGGGACGAAGCAGAUAAACGGUAAGAGUCCAGAGCGUUCGGACAGUCCAACGAGUACUUCCACGGCCACCAGCGUUGGAACGCUGACUCCCCCGUCGCUCCGUAAGUCCAUUACGAUGCUCCUCGUUCUUGUUGCCAUUGAUACUAACUGAGAUUUACGUUUCUACGUCCUUUAAUUAGCUGGGCACAAAAGUUGAUGGCGCGUGCUGAGAUCAUUCCUUUCACGUUCCGUGGAAAUCCCACAAGACGUAGUUCCUGGCAAAGGUGUUCCACCACCACCGCCACCUUCGUUGCCAACAUCGUCUGAAGCGUCCGGUGGUGCGUCGAGU